AGGAUGAACGCUGGCGGCGUGCUUAACACAUGCAAGUCGAACGAUGAAGGCUGGAGCUUGCUCUGGCUGGAUUAGUGGCGAACGGGUGAGUAACACGUGAGUAACCUGCCCCAGACUCUGGGAUAAGCGCUGGAAACGGCGUCUAAUACCGGAUACGAGCUUCCACCGCAUGGUGAGGAGCUGGAAAGAUUUCGGUCUGGGAUGGACUCGCGGCCUAUCAGCUUGUUGGUGAGGUAAUGGCUCACCAAGGCGACGACGGGUAGCCGGCCUGAGAGGGUGACCGGCCACACUGGGACUGAGACACGGCCCAGACUCCUACGGGAGCAGCGAGUGGGGAAUACGUUGACGACAAGU
This 354-nucleotide ribosomal RNA is filed under the name uncultured soil bacterium. RNAcentral's name for it is "bacterial SSU rRNA". It matches the Rfam family "Bacterial small subunit ribosomal RNA", at positions 26 to 376 of the family's 1533-position model. The record is from RNAcentral.